GUCUUUAUAUCACUAAAUAAUAAGGUUAGGCAUGUAAGAAAUAAAUAGUUGAUAAACGUAACAUAAUAAAAAAGCGUAUCUAUUGUACUGUUGAGUCAGGUAUUUUGGCUUCUUGAUGUGACGCUGAAUCGUAACGUUGGAUCAGCUGUUUAGAUUCUCGAUAUAACGUUGGAUUAGUUGCUUAACCUCGCGAUGUUGGAUCAUCUAUUUAUGACAUUGAAUUGGCUGAUGAAUCUUUUAAUAUAGCGUUGGAUCAGCUGUUUAGCUUCUUGAUAUGAUGUUGGAUUGGUUGUUGAACAUCUUGAUGUUGGAUCAGCUAUUUGCCUUCUCGAUAUGAUUUUGGAUCGGCUGUUGAACUCUCAAUGUUAGAUCAACUGUUUGGCUUUUCGAUAUGAUGUUGGAUCGGCUGUUGAACCACUCGAUGUUGGAUCAGUUGUUUAGCUUCUCGAUAUGACAUUGGAUCGGCUGUUGGACCUCUCGAUGUUGGAUCAACUUUUUGCUUUUCGAUAUGAUGUUGGAUCGGUUGUUGAACCUCUCGGUGUUGGAUCAGCUGUUUGGCUUCUCGACAUGGAGUAACCUGUACUUGUUAAAAAUGGUUAGCACAGAUGUAUAUAAAGUUGAGUGAGAAAGAAAAUGUAUCUGCUAUAUUAUUCGAUCAACUGUUGAGCUACUCGUCUUGAUGUUGUCUGCUGGGCUCUUUGUGAUGGAGUGAUUCUUCCUAUCUGUACCUGUUAAUCCUGAACUCAAAGAAAAAUUGUGAGUUUGUAAAAAGGGGAGGUUGAUUUGUGCUUCCACCUUGACUGAAGUGUCCUCCUCUUAAUGCCGUCGUCUUUGUUGAUAAGUUUUGCCCGGGCCUUUACUCGGGUAGACAGAUAGAAACUAAAAGAGAAAUCAUUUUCGAAAAUAAAGAUCAUGUUUUAAAAGAAAAUUUUCUUUUGAAAGUUGUAAGAAAAAUGUGUUAGAAUAAACAUGAAAAUUUUGUCGAAUCAUUGAUUGUGACAUGUUUUGAGACGACGCAACAUUUUGUGGAUCCUUGUUCACUUGUUAAGAAAUUUUUGAUGAUUACUCAAAAAUUUCUUCCCCAGUAUAGGACUAACUCGUUGUAGGAAUUCCACAGUCUACUUAUUGGAAUUUUUGAGGUCGUCUCAAAAAUUCUACCCCAGUUUAUAAUUUAUGCCGAUGUCAUGCCCAUGUAGAAUUUUUGAGGUCCUCUCAAAAAUUUCGCUCCAGUUACAGUCUUAUAUUCCUACACCACUCAAAAGAAAAUAUCAGUACAUAGUAAAUUAAAUGUCCCGGCGACUCUUCGGAACUUGUAAGUGUCUAUUUAAACCUGCAAAAGCAAAAUACAAGGGAAAGCAAACAAGAAAAAAAACAUCGAAACAUUCCUACAAACAUGUUUUCUAAAGGUUUUCCCAACGUCAUACAAUCAACAGAUAGAGAACGAAAAUCGGGUUGAAUAAGGACUUACCGGUAAGCAGC
Molecule: long non-coding RNA, 1479 nt
Filed under: Capsicum annuum
Lineage: Eukaryota; Viridiplantae; Streptophyta; Magnoliopsida; Solanales; Solanaceae
Description: long non-coding RNA (CANN_LNC008691)
Source: RNAcentral